GACGAACGCUGGCGGCGUGCUUAACACAUGCAAGUCGAACGGUUCGUCCCCUUUGGGGGUUCUCGAGUGGCGGACGGGUGAGUAACACGUCAGUAACCUGCCCUUUACUUCGGGAUCCCUUCAGGAAACUGGGGCUAAUACCGGCUAGGAAUCCUUGCUCCAUGCUGGUUGUUCGGCAUCUUCGGCGGGUUUGGAGCGCCUCGGGGCUUAUCUGCUUGUUGGUGGGGUAGUGGCUUACCAAGGCGUUGACGUGUAGGCGGCCUGAGGGGGCGACCGGCCACAUUGGGACCGAGAGACGGCACAGACACCGACGGGACGCAGCAGUGGGGAAGACUGACCAAGGGGCGGAAGCCGGAUGCAGAAAGGCCGCGGGCGGGAUGACGGCCUUGGGGUUGAAAAACGAGUUCAGCAGGGGCGAAGCUUGUGGUGACGGUACCUGCAGAAGAAGCAACGGCUAACUACGUG
Molecule: ribosomal RNA, 465 nt
Filed under: uncultured bacterium
Lineage: Bacteria
Description: partial 16S ribosomal RNA
Rfam family: Bacterial small subunit ribosomal RNA
Source: RNAcentral